This is a non-coding RNA of Cicer arietinum (chickpea), 666 nucleotides long. Lineage: Eukaryota; Viridiplantae; Streptophyta; Magnoliopsida; Fabales; Fabaceae. The record is from RefSeq and is a predicted model, not a curated record.
GUCUUAUUUUUCCCUUUUGUGAUCUAUCAUCCAAGUAUUCAACCAUAGCUUACAUUAUUUGGGAAUCUUACCUGAAAAUGAAUUUAUUUGCAUACUAGAAGACACAUGUUUAUUACAAUCAUAUGCUAAAGGUUGGAGGAUUAUUUCCAAGUAGCUAUAGUUUAUGUCUUUUUUCUUCCCUCAAUUUCUUCAACCUUGCAAAGGUUUUCGCUAGGGAUGGGGUGUCGUUUUCGACUACUUGUGAAAAUCUUCUCCCUGGACCUUGGAUAAUUGAUGACCUUGAUACUUUAAAAUUAAAAUGGAGCAACAACUCCGGGAAGAAGGUUAUCAUAUUUGUUGAUAACUAUGGUGGAGAUAUUAUUUUGGGUAUUUUGGCGGUCUGAAAAUUGGAAUCUCAUUGCCAUAACAAAGUUAUUUGAUAAAAUCCUUAUAGCACUCAGCUUCACAAAAACUAUUAUUCUCAUUUCAAACUAAAUACUAGGAUCUGAUUGUUUAGCCGAUGCCUUGCAAUCAGUUGAUUUUGAUGUUUUCUCACGAACCAGUGGCAACUUUGCCACAGUAUCCUGUAACUAUGCACCCUUAAAUGAAAAUUUGUAAAAUGAUAGGAGUAGAGCAAACUAAAAUUGGUAAUACAUUCUUUCUUUCCACCAAUAAAUUUUUGUAUCA